This 214-nucleotide ribosomal RNA is filed under the name uncultured bacterium. Its description in RNAcentral is "partial 16S ribosomal RNA". It matches the Rfam family "Bacterial small subunit ribosomal RNA", at positions 1287 to 1500 of the family's 1533-position model. The record is from RNAcentral.
CCACGUUCGGAUUGCAGGCUGCAACCCGCCUGCAUGAAGCCGGAAUCGCUAGUAAUCGCGGAUCAGAAUGCCGCGGUGAAUACGUUCCCGGGUCUUGUACACACCGCCCGUCACACCAUGGGAGUCGGGAAUGCCCGAAGUCAGUGGCCCAACCGGAAGGGGGGAGCUGCCGAAGGCAGGCCCGGUGACUGGGGUGAAGUCGUAACAAGGUAAC